Aptenodytes forsteri (emperor penguin) is the source of this 272-nucleotide long non-coding RNA. RefSeq lists it as uncharacterized. NCBI's taxonomy places the organism in Eukaryota, Metazoa, Chordata, Aves, Sphenisciformes, Spheniscidae. The record is from RefSeq and is a predicted model, not a curated record. The transcript has 3 exons.
AAGUCUUUUGGAAAUGAUGCUAUUGAAUGUACUUUUGUCUCUCGCUAGAUAUGGAUAACAGGAAGGAUGAAAAAAGUAGGACACUGUGUGCAACUUCACAAGAAGGGCUGAAAGUCCGAGAAAAAGAAAAAAGGAAACGAAAACGCAGUAGAAGCAGAUCAUCGUCCAUUUCAUCCACAUCGUCUUCUAGCACUACAUCCACUUCUUCUUCCUCAUCACGCUCAUCAUCAAGGUCGUCUUCUUCAAGUAGCAGAGAUUCUCCUAAGUCUAAA